This 160-nucleotide non-coding RNA is filed under the name bovine gut metagenome. The record is from RNAcentral.
UUGUGGUGUCCUUCACGGACUCAAUAGGGAAUCGGGUGAGAAUCCCGGACAGUUCCCGCUGCUGUGAUGGCCAAUCGCCUGCCACUCUGCCACUGUCUGACGCUCGUCGGAUGGGAAGGCGGCAGAAGCGAGGCCUCAGUCAGAAGACCUGCCUCAAGUC